GAUGAACGCUGGCGGCGUGCCUAAUACAUGCAAGUCGAGCGAACGGACGAGAAGCUUGCUUCUCUGAUGUUAGCGGCGGACGGGUGAGUAACACGUGGAUAACCUACCUAUAAAACUGGGAUAACUUCGGGAAACCGGAGCUAAUACCGGAUAAUAUUUUGAACCGCAUGGUUCAAAAGUGAAAGACGGUCUUGCUGUCACUUAUAGAUGGAUCCGCGCUGCAUUAGCUAGUUGGUAAGGUAACGGCUUACCAAGGCAACGAUGCAUAGCCGACCUGAGAGGGUGAUCGGCCACACUGGAACUGAGACGCGGUCCAGACUCCUACGGGAGGCAGCAGUAGGGAAUCUUCCGCAAUGGGCGAAAGCCUGACGGAGCAACGCCGCGUGAGUGAUGAAGGUCCUCGGAUCGUAAAACUCUGUUAUUAGGGAAGAACAUAUGUGUAAGUAACUGUGCACAUCUUGACGGUACCUAAUCAGAAAGCCACGGCUAACUACGUG
Molecule: ribosomal RNA, 497 nt
Filed under: uncultured bacterium
Lineage: Bacteria
Description: partial 16S ribosomal RNA
Rfam family: Bacterial small subunit ribosomal RNA
Source: RNAcentral